CAGUAGCCGCGGUAAUACGAAGGGUGCAAGCGUUGUUCGGAAUUACUGGGCGUAAAGCGCACGUAGGCGGCUUUGUAAGUUAGAGGUGAAAGCCUGGGGCUCAACUCCAGAAUUGCCUUUAAGACUGCAUCGCUUGAACGUCGGAGAGGUGAGUGGAAUUCCGAGUGUAGAGGUGAAAUUCGUAGAUAUUCGGAAGAACACCAGUGGCGAAGGCGGCUCACUGGACGACUGUUGACGCUGAGGUGCAAAAGCGUGGGGAGCAAACAGGAUUAGAUACCCGAGUAGUCCCUGUCUCUUAUAC
Molecule: ribosomal RNA, 301 nt
Filed under: uncultured bacterium
Lineage: Bacteria
Description: partial 16S ribosomal RNA
Rfam family: Bacterial small subunit ribosomal RNA
Source: RNAcentral